Molecule: transfer RNA, 3159 nt
Filed under: Streptococcus pneumoniae
Lineage: Bacteria; Bacillati; Bacillota; Bacilli; Lactobacillales; Streptococcaceae
Description: bacterial SSU rRNA
Rfam family: Bacterial small subunit ribosomal RNA (bases 1619-3159)
Source: RNAcentral
AGAGUUUGAUCCUGGCUCAGGACGAACGCUGGCGGCGUGCCUAAUACAUGCAAGUAGAACGCUGAAGGAGGAGCUUGCUUCUCUGGAUGAGUUGCGAACGGGUGAGUAACGCGUAGGUAACCUGCCUGGUAGCGGGGGAUAACUAUUGGAAACGAUAGCUAAUACCGCAUAAGAGUAGAUGUUGCAUGACAUUUACUUAAAAGGUGCACUUGCAUCACUACCAGAUGGACCUGCGUUGUAUUAGCUAGUUGGUGGGGUAACGGCUCACCAAGGCGACGAUACAUAGCCGACCUGAGAGGGUGAUCGGCCACACUGGGACUGAGACACGGCCCAGACUCCUACGGGAGGCAGCAGUAGGGAAUCUUCGGCAAUGGACGGAAGUCUGACCGNGAUUGCUAAUCGCUUAGCAGAAUUACUUACUUAUCACCAGAUUCCAAUAACGGAUGAGAGAAAAGUUCUAGGUGUCCGUACUAUUAUGGUCCGACGCGCGAGAAAGACCGGACAGGUUCAGAUUAUUAUUGUUACAAACCGCCAGCUUAAUUUAACCCAACUGGUAAAAGAGUUGGUUAAAGAUUUUCCAGAAGUUGUGACAGUAGCUGUUAAUACAAAUACAGCUAAAACCAGUGAGAUAUAUGGUGAAAAGACAGAGAUUAUCUGGGGGCAAGAGAGUAUUCAAGAAGGUGUACUCAAUUAUGAAUUUUCACUAUCCCCUCGAGCUUUUUAUCAACUAAAUCCUGAGCAAACAGAAGUCCUCUAUAGCGAAGCAGUAAAAGCGCUGGAUGUUGAUAAAGAAGAUCAUUUGAUUGACGCUUAUUGUGGAGUUGGAACGAUUGGAUUUGCCUUUGCAAAGAAAGUUAAAACACUCAGAGGUAUAGAUAUUGUUCCAGAAGCUAUUGAAGAUGCCAAGAGAAAUGCUAAAAGAAUGGGAUUUGACAACACUCACUAUGAAGCUGGAACCGCAGAAGAGAUUAUUCCACGUUGGUAUAAGGAUGGCUACCGAGCAGAUGCUUUGAUUGUUGACCCACCACGUACAGGUCUGGAUGAUAAGUUAUUAGAUACUAUUCUUACUUAUGUACCAGAAAAAAUGGUCUAUAUUUCUUGCAAUGUUUCAACUUUGGCAAGGGAUUUGGUACGCUUAGUAGAAGUCUAUGAUAUCCAUUAUAUUCAGUCGGUCGAUAUGUUUCCACACACUGCUCGAACUGAAGCUGUUGUAAAAUUAAUUAAAAAAAAUUAGAAAAAGUAGUUGACAAAACAUAAAAAGGCUGUAUAAUAGUAAGAGUUGAAAAUAGCAACUCAGGUCCGUUGGUCAAGGGGUUAAGACACCGCCUUUUCACGGCGGUAACACGGGUUCGAAUCCCGUACGGACUAUGGUAUGUUGCGUCAGGACCACUUGAUAAAAAAAGUUUAAAAAAACUUAAAAAUCUUCAAAAAAGUGUUGACAAGUGAAAGUGGCUGUGAUAUACUAAUAUAGUUGUCGCUUGAGAGAAGCAAGUGACAAAGACCUUUGAAAACUGAACAAGACGAACCAAUGUGCAGGGCGCUACAACGUAAGUUGUAGUACUGAACAAUGAAAAAACAAUAAAUCUGUCAGUGACAGAAAUGAGUGAGAACUCAAACUUUUAAUGAGAGUUUGAUCCUGGCUCAGGACGAACGCUGGCGGCGUGCCUAAUACAUGCAAGUAGAACGCUGAAGGAGGAGCUUGCUUCUCUGGAUGAGUUGCGAACGGGUGAGUAACGCGUAGGUAACCUGCCUGGUAGCGGGGGAUAACUAUUGGAAACGAUAGCUAAUACCGCAUAAGAGUAGAUGUUGCAUGACAUUUACUUAAAAGGUGCACUUGCAUCACUACCAGAUGGACCUGCGUUGUAUUAGCUAGUUGGUGGGGUAACGGCUCACCAAGGCGACGAUACAUAGCCGACCUGAGAGGGUGAUCGGCCACACUGGGACUGAGACACGGCCCAGACUCCUACGGGAGGCAGCAGUAGGGAAUCUUCGGCAAUGGACGGAAGUCUGACCGAGCAACGCCGCGUGAGUGAAGAAGGUUUUCGGAUCGUAAAGCUCUGUUGUAAGAGAAGAACGAGUGUGAGAGUGGAAAGUUCACACUGUGACGGUAUCUUACCAGAAAGGGACGGCUAACUACGUGCCAGCAGCCGCGGUAAUACGUAGGUCCCGAGCGUUGUCCGGAUUUAUUGGGCGUAAAGCGAGCGCAGGCGGUUAGAUAAGUCUGAAGUUAAAGGCUGUGGCUUAACCAUAGUAGGCUUUGGAAACUGUUUAACUUGAGUGCAAGAGGGGAGAGUGGAAUUCCAUGUGUAGCGGUGAAAUGCGUAGAUAUAUGGAGGAACACCGGUGGCGAAAGCGGCUCUCUGGCUUGUAACUGACGCUGAGGCUCGAAAGCGUGGGGAGCAAACAGGAUUAGAUACCCUGGUAGUCCACGCUGUAAACGAUGAGUGCUAGGUGUUAGACCCUUUCCGGGGUUUAGUGCCGUAGCUAACGCAUUAAGCACUCCGCCUGGGGAGUACGACCGCAAGGUUGAAACUCAAAGGAAUUGACGGGGGCCCGCACAAGCGGUGGAGCAUGUGGUUUAAUUCGAAGCAACGCGAAGAACCUUACCAGGUCUUGACAUCCCUCUGACCGCUCUAGAGAUAGAGUUUUCCUUCGGGACAGAGGUGACAGGUGGUGCAUGGUUGUCGUCAGCUCGUGUCGUGAGAUGUUGGGUUAAGUCCCGCAACGAGCGCAACCCCUAUUGUUAGUUGCCAUCAUUCAGUUGGGCACUCUAGCGAGACUGCCGGUAAUAAACCGGAGGAAGGUGGGGAUGACGUCAAAUCAUCAUGCCCCUUAUGACCUGGGCUACACACGUGCUACAAUGGCUGGUACAACGAGUCGCAAGCCGGUGACGGCAAGCUAAUCUCUUAAAGCCAGUCUCAGUUCGGAUUGUAGGCUGCAACUCGCCUACAUGAAGUCGGAAUCGCUAGUAAUCGCGGAUCAGCACGCCGCGGUGAAUACGUUCCCGGGCCUUGUACACACCGCCCGUCACACCACGAGAGUUUGUAACACCCGAAGUCGGUGAGGUAACCGUAAGGAGCCAGCCGCCUAAGGUGGGAUAGAUGAUUGGGGUGAAGUCGUAACAAGGUAGCCGUAUCGGAAGGUGCGGCUGGAUCACCU